RNAcentral lists this long non-coding RNA (926 nucleotides) under Heterocephalus glaber (naked mole-rat). RNAcentral's name for it is "lncRNA (ENSHGLG00000027266.2)". The record is from RNAcentral. Lineage: Eukaryota; Metazoa; Chordata; Mammalia; Rodentia; Bathyergidae.
GGGGACUUCACCAACCGAGGACCAUGGCUGGACAGAAAGACUGUGCACUUUGGGGUCAGCUGGGCCUGAGUUAGACUCCAGCUCCCCCACUUGUUAGCUUCAAAUUCCGAGAUAGUUGUGUUUGAACUUAUUUGACUUCCUCUGGGGCUACUAAUCUCCACAUCGCUCAAUCCUUGGGAGUCUGUGAGCUCCCCAAGAGGGAAACUAUCUGAUUCAUCCUAAAAGCCAGAAGCAAGUAGUUGUCAUCUCCAGGAUGGGAGCGGUGGGAAGAGACUGUGAAGCCUGCAGACCCCAACCCCUCAGUGGGACAGCAGCAGGGACCUGGAAUCUUCCAUCAGGAAGAAGCAAUACUGGUAGGCAGCAGAUGGCAACUUCAAACACGUGCAGAUGGCUUGCAUUGUAACCCGACGGACAGUAAGAACACAUAUCCUAGAUCACCAACCUGGAAGACACCCCCUUAAAUAUACCCAACUCUGCUCAUAAGGCACCUCAGCACCCACAAUCCACUGCUAAGUGCAACCUAAGAUCUCUAUCUUAUAAACCCUUUUCAUGCCUCUUACAGUCACAUUCUGAAAAUUCUUUUUCCGUGGCAGAAGGCAGCAAACCUGCAAACUUGGGCCAGGGAUUUAGCUCAGUGGUUUUGCCACCUGCUGCGCAAGUGGAAAGACCCAAGUUCUAUCCCAAGUAACAACAAAAAACAAACAAACAAACAAACAAAACCCUGCAAACUUAUUCUACAAGAGUGGGACAGGUUCCUUAUUUCAGCCCUGGUGACCUUCAGAACCAGCUCAGUGACAAGACCAAGCUUCACCUCCCAAAUCACAUUUAGCAAUAAAUGCAUCACUGGAUGAAUCCACUGAGUAGUGGUCAGACUGUGAUCCUGUCUCCUCCCCAAGGCUCCACCUAUGAGCACAUGAGGCUUUGAG